Molecule: unclassified non-coding RNA, 236 nt
Filed under: plant metagenome
Description: partial contains small subunit ribosomal RNA and internal transcribed spacer 1
Rfam family: Eukaryotic small subunit ribosomal RNA (bases 1-46)
Source: RNAcentral
AAGUCGUAACAAGGUUACCGUAGGUGAACCUGCGGUAGGAUCAUUAAAGAGAUAGGGUUCUUACGAGCCCGACCUCCAACCCUUUGUCUACCAAACCUCUGUUGCCUCGGCGGGUCGCCGGCGCCCCUAACCGGGCGCCGCCGUCGGCCCUGCGCUUUCGAGGACCCGCCGCAGGACUAUACAAAUUCUUUUUAAACAAGUUUAAUCUGAGUGGAUAUUUAAUGCUUCAAUUAAAA